ACCAGACCCUUCUUCUCCUUUUUUUUCAGUUUUGGCUUGCCACGACCCCACCUUCACGCCUCCACCACCGCCACCACACGCCGCCACUUGGGGCGGCACCGGUUCCGUUGGAACCACCACACUCCCUACUUUCCAUUCCACCCAACCACCGCCUCGAUCCGCCGCCGUGCACGCCGGAAUCAGCCAUGAAAGGUAGCGGUUUGGACAGAUUUUUGUCAAACUUUCGGCCCUUCGUUCUCUCUCAUUUCUCCACCAAAUUGGACGAGUAAGGUACUCCGACCACGCAAACACAGCAGGCGGGACCCUCUCAGGGUCAGGCAGUGUGGGACUACUUCCAGUAGUCGACUGAGCUUCGCAGCUAGGCCGGAUCGUGUG
Prunus dulcis (almond) is the source of this 375-nucleotide long non-coding RNA. RefSeq lists it as uncharacterized. Lineage: Eukaryota; Viridiplantae; Streptophyta; Magnoliopsida; Rosales; Rosaceae. The record is from RefSeq and is a predicted model, not a curated record. The transcript is spliced from 3 exons.